AAGUCGUAACAAGGUUGUGAACCUGCGGAAAGAUUAUUAAUGCUCUUGUAACCCGCGUAGUUCGCAAUCUCUGAUAAAUCACAGCCCCGAAAGUUGUAGUGAUUCAGAGACCUCUAGCUACGUGCGAACAUUGGAACAGUUAUAAUCGAGUGGUAGUUCUAUCGGCAAUGUUUCCCCAAGCAGUCCGUGUCGGAAAGUGUCAUUGAUUGUAUUCCUGUAGACCGUACACCCGGGCAGGAGCUUUGCCAAAGGGUCCCCAUGCCCCCUGAUAACCCCUCAAUGUAAUACAUUGGGUAAAAAACCGAACAACUGUUAACAAUGGAUAUCUUGGUUCUC
This 336-nucleotide unclassified non-coding RNA is filed under the name fungal sp. RNAcentral describes it as "partial internal transcribed spacer region". The record is from RNAcentral. Lineage: Eukaryota; Fungi.